UACGGAAGGCAGCAGUGGGGAAUAUUGCACAAUGGGCGAAAGCCUGAUGCAGCUAUGCCGCGUGUAUGAAGAAGGCCUUAGGGUUGUAAAGUACUUUCAUCGGGGAGGAAAAACAAAACUAAUAAUUUUAUUUCUUGACGUUACCCGAAAAAGAAGCACCGGCUAACUCCGUGCCAGCAGCCGCGGUAAUACGGAGGGUGCUAGCGUUAAUCAGAAUUACUGGGCGUAAAGAGCACGUAGGUGGUUUUUUUAAGUCAGAUGUGAAAUCCCUGGGCUUAACCUAGGAACUGCAUUUUGAAACUGAAAUACUAGAGUAUCGUAGAGGGAGGUAGAAUUCUAGGUGUAGCGGUGAAAUGCGUAGAUAUCUGGAGGAAUACCUGUGGCGAAAGCGACCUCCUAAACGAAUACUGACACUGAGGUGCGAAAGCGUGGGGAGCAAACAGGGAUUAGAUACC
RNAcentral lists this ribosomal RNA (455 nucleotides) under uncultured bacterium. Its description in RNAcentral is "bacterial SSU rRNA". It matches the Rfam family "Bacterial small subunit ribosomal RNA", at positions 340 to 786 of the family's 1533-position model. The record is from RNAcentral.